CUCUGGAGGUUUCCUGCUCACCUUGCUCUGCUGCUGUGGGGCUGCGCCCUGGCUGCUCUGUUUUGCUCAGCUCCUUUCCUGAUGGCCAGAGAUGCUGCCCACUGAGGCUUAUUCUUGUGCAGCUUGUCCUUAGUCUUCAGUUUGUUACCACGCAUGCUGCAAUGAGAUCCCAGAGAGCGAGCCGCCUUCUCGGGCCCAGAGAGCACCGCUGAAGAUUGCUGGUGGAAAUCCCUGACAGUUGUCUUCAGUAGAACUACUUCAUGCCUAUCCUUGAUGGAUGAAGAUUUAUGACUUGAUCUAUCUCUAAAUUAAUCACUUCCUUAGGCAGUUUCCUCACAAAAUGUAUCAGAAGAAUUUUACUCAAAGUGAAAGGGAGAGAAAAAUCUCAGGAGUUAUAAGAGAAGUAAUAAUUUAUUAUAUACUCUAAGUGAAAUCCAACAAAGGUCACUGCACUUAGAAGACUGAGGAGAAGUGGGGGGUUUGGUAUGGAAUAAAAUGCCAAGCUUUCCCUUAA
This is a long non-coding RNA of Cyanistes caeruleus (blue tit), 514 nucleotides long. RefSeq lists it as uncharacterized. The record is from RefSeq and is a predicted model, not a curated record. NCBI's taxonomy places the organism in Eukaryota, Metazoa, Chordata, Aves, Passeriformes, Paridae.